CUACUCUUUUUUACCCUUACUUUCCAUGGAUGUGGGUUGUGUUUUUUUUUUUUUUUCGGGGGCCGACCAACCCCCCCUUUUUUUUGUUCAUAUUCCAAAAACGGAGGAAAAGAAACCAACAGCCAUUGCCCAGUACGGCGAGUGAAGCGGCAACAGCUCAAAUUUGAAAUCUGGCCCCCCCCGGGGGGCCCGAGUUGUAAUUUGCAGAUUGUGCUUUUGGCGAGGGGCCUUCCGAGUUCCCUGGAACGGGACGCCAUAGAGGGUGAGAGCCCCGUCUGGUCGGCCGCCGAGCCUCUGUAAAGCACCUUCGACGAGUCGAGUAGUUUGGGAAUGCUGCUCAAAAUGGGAGGUAUAUGUCUUCUAAAGCUAAAUACCGGCCAGAGACCGAUAGCGCACAAGUAGAGUGAUCGAAAGAUGAAAAGCACCUUGAAAAGGGGGUUAAACAGUACGUGAAAUUGUUGAAAGGGAAGCGCUCGCGACCAGACUUGGGCCCGGCGGAUCACCCAGCGUUCUCGCUGGGGCACUCCGCCUCGUCCCAGGCCAGCAUCGGUUCGUGCCGGGGGACAAAGACGGCGGGAACGUGGCUCCCCCGGGAGUGUUAUAGCCCGCCGUGCAAUGCCCUGGGGCGGACCGAGGAUUCGCGCAUCUGCAUGAUGCUGCGUAAUGGUCACCAGCGACCCGUCUUAACACCGGGACCAAGCGCAUCCAUGCAGAAUGCGCGAAUCCUCGGUCCGCCCCAGGGCAUUGCACGGCGGGCUAUAACACUCCCGGGGGAGCCACGUUCCCGCCGUCUUUGUCCCCGGCACGAACCGAUGCUGGCCUGGGACGAGGCCGGAGUGCCCCAGCGAGAACGCUGGGGUGAUCGCCGGGCCAAGUCUGGUGCGAGCGCUUCCUUUCACAAUUCCGUACUGUUUAACCCUUUUCAAGGUGCUUUUCAUCUUUCAUCACUCUACUGGUGCGCUAUCGGUCUCUGGCCGGUAUUUACUUAGAAGAAUAUACUCCAUUGUGAGCAGCAUCCAAACUACUCACUCGUCAAGGUGCUCUCAGAGCGCGCGGCGACCCAAGGGCUCUCCCCUCUAUGGCAUCCGUUCAGGGAACUCGAAGGCCUCGCGAAGCAUCUGCACUAACUGGGGCCCUGGGGGCCGAAUCAAUUACGAUGCGCGUCACUGCGUCUGAGCAUCCUGGUAUCAUUUCUCCCUAAUGGAGUUGCAACAAA
RNAcentral lists this ribosomal RNA (1216 nucleotides) under Aschersonia hypocreoidea. Its description in RNAcentral is "partial large subunit ribosomal RNA". The stretch from base 74 to 693 matches the Rfam family "Eukaryotic large subunit ribosomal RNA", at positions 24 to 664 of the family's 3401-position model. The record is from RNAcentral. Lineage: Eukaryota; Fungi; Ascomycota; Sordariomycetes; Hypocreales; Clavicipitaceae.